AUUGAACGCUGGAGGCAGGCUUACCACAUGCAAGUCGAGCGAGCGGCGGACGGGUGAGUAAUGUCUGGGACACUGCCUGAUGGAGGGGGAUAACUACUGGAAACGGUAGCUAAUACCGCAUACCAUCAGAUGUGCCCAGAUGGGAUGAGCUAGUAGGUGGGGUAAUGGCUCACCUAGUGGCCGAGCCCUAGCUGGUUUGAGAGGAUGACCAGCCACCCUGGAACUUCGACACGGUCCAGACUCCUCCGGUAGACAGCAGUGGGGCAUAUUGCACUAAGGGCGCAAGGCUGAUGCAGUCAGGCCGCGUGUGGGAAGAAGGCCUUCGGGUUGUAAAGCACUUGCAGGGAGGAGGCGUUACUGGCAGAAGAAGCACCUGUUAACUCCGUGCCAGCAGCCGCGGUAAUAC
RNAcentral lists this ribosomal RNA (406 nucleotides) under uncultured bacterium. RNAcentral's name for it is "partial 16S ribosomal RNA". It matches the Rfam family "Bacterial small subunit ribosomal RNA", at positions 30 to 526 of the family's 1533-position model. The record is from RNAcentral.